GUGAGCUUCAAAUUUUCAUUUUAGACAUUUAAGUUGCAACAAGGUACAAACAUUCUUUCUCAGUUAUUUUUCAGCUUUUAAAAUCAUGUUUUUAAAUUUCAGCAUAAUUUUAGAUUGACAGAAAAGUUGCAAAGAUAGUACACAGAGUUCCUGCAUAUCCUUCAUCUAGUUUCCCCCAUGGAACCUAGAUAUAUUUUACCAUUGUAAAAUACGAUGGUACAUUUGUCACAACUAAGGAGCGGAUGCUGGUGUUUACUAUUAGCCAAACACUGGGCUUUAUUGGAUUUCAUCAGUGUUUCCAUUAGCAUCUAUUUUGUGCUCCAGGAUUCAGGCCAGGGUACCACAUUGCAUUUAGUUUGCAUGGCUCCCCAGGCUCCUCUGCUCUGCGACAGUUUAUCUGUCUUCCUUAUUGUUCAUUACCUUAACAGUAUUGAGAAGUACCGCCCAGGAAUACUGUAGAACACCUCCCCAUGUGGGCUGGUCUGUCAUUUUUCUUAUGAUUAGACUGGAGUCUACGUUUUUGGAAGAGUAUCACAUAGGUGAAGUGCCUUCAUUGUCACGUCAUAUUGUGGGGAGGCGCUAUGUGAUAUCCACACGACAUCAGUGGUCAUGUUAACCUUCAUCACACUAUAAUUUCUCAGAAUUUUUAAGAGUAAUUUUGGCUCUUGUUUGGUUGUUUCAUCAGAAGUAUGGAGAUGAGAAGUUCAGAAGGAGACCACUUGGAGACACAUAGGACAGAUGACCCGCAAAUCCCACAUGAAGCAAGGAGAUUAAUAACAGAGAUUGUACUUUGCAGAGGAUGGAAGUGUCAAAGUGUUCUGACUUGCCUAAAUCAAGCAAAAGUUUCUGCAUCUACAAAACCAAGCAAGCCCCAACCAUGUUUACAUUCUUUUCUGCAUAUUUCUUUGCCCAGCAGCACCUCAGCACUGAAGAGUGUUCAAGAGUAAACAUCAUUCUUUAUAUAGACUCCAAGAAGAGGUAACCCAAGCAAAUAUCAUGCGACUAGAAG
This is a long non-coding RNA of Pan paniscus (pygmy chimpanzee), 1009 nucleotides long. NCBI's taxonomy places the organism in Eukaryota, Metazoa, Chordata, Mammalia, Primates, Hominidae. The record is from Ensembl.